RNAcentral lists this transfer RNA (66 nucleotides) under Pleuropoma jana. RNAcentral's name for it is "tRNA-Ser". Lineage: Eukaryota; Metazoa; Mollusca; Gastropoda; Cycloneritida; Helicinidae. The record is from RNAcentral.
AGCUAAAGCAUGAUGCUAUAUCUAUUUUGAAAAUAGAUUAUUAAUGUUUGAUUCAUUAGUUGGUUU